This is a long non-coding RNA of Megalops cyprinoides (Indo-Pacific tarpon), 441 nucleotides long. RefSeq lists it as uncharacterized. The record is from RefSeq and is a predicted model, not a curated record. NCBI's taxonomy places the organism in Eukaryota, Metazoa, Chordata, Actinopteri, Elopiformes, Megalopidae. The transcript has 3 exons.
AAAAAGAAUUUCAGACCAACUGUGAUGACUCAGAAGCAAGAGACUCGGGUCCAAUGCAGUCCAGUGGAGGUGACAAGACAGAUCCUGCAGCUUCAUUCUUUAGAUUCAACAGAAACCCCUCUCAAAAAUCUGAAGUGGACACUUAUUUGGAUGCCCCAACUACAGAUGGGUUUGAAGAAUACAAGCAGUUUCCAAGACUCAGAAGGCUCUUCAUAAAACACAACACUGCACUCCCCUCAAGCACUCCGGUAGAGAGGCUCUUCAGCAUCGGUGGUCAAAUAUUCAGGCCCAGGACAAACCGGCUAGGUGAUGCCAAUUUCGAGAAGCAGCUGAUAUUGAAUGCCAACACAAAGAUUUGAAGGAAGAAAGAAACAGAAGAUCCACCAGGGAGAGACCACUGUGACUGACUGACCAGUGUGACAGAGAAAACUUUUGACAUUU